GCCAGCAGCCAUAUCACCCUGCAGCCCAAGACUGGUUGCCCACUGAAGCUAAGCAGGGUUGAGCCUGGUCAGUACCUGGAUGGGAGACCUCCUGGCAAAAACUAGGUUGCAGCUGGAA
This is a ribosomal RNA of Sinocyclocheilus anshuiensis, 118 nucleotides long. Lineage: Eukaryota; Metazoa; Chordata; Actinopteri; Cypriniformes; Cyprinidae. The record is from Ensembl.